GACAGAGGGUGCAAACGUUGUUCGGAUUUACUGGGCGUAAAGCGCGUGUAGGCGGCUUUGCAAGUCGGAUGUGAAAGCCCACGGCUCAACCGAGGAAGUGCAUCCGAAACUGCAUGGCUUGAGUCUCGGAGAGGAAGGUGGAAUGCUUGGUGUAGAGGUGAAAUUCGUAGAUAUCAAGCGGAACACCGGUGGCGAAGGCGGCCUUCUGGACAGUGACUGACGCUGAGACGCGAAAGCGUGGGGAGCGAACAGG
This 253-nucleotide ribosomal RNA is filed under the name uncultured bacterium. Its description in RNAcentral is "partial 16S ribosomal RNA". It matches the Rfam family "Bacterial small subunit ribosomal RNA", at positions 524 to 776 of the family's 1533-position model. The record is from RNAcentral.